Molecule: long non-coding RNA, 448 nt
Organism: Sciurus carolinensis (gray squirrel)
Lineage: Eukaryota; Metazoa; Chordata; Mammalia; Rodentia; Sciuridae
Exons: 3
Source: RefSeq, a predicted model, not a curated record
ACGGGAGGAGCCACUGGGGCGGGGCCGCAGUCAGGGUGGCCCCCUGGAGGCAGGCUCUCAGGCCACGGUCUCCACCAGAGCAGUGCGGUGCGGUGACCAUGGCGUCCCCGAGCUCACAUGCACACCUGGGGCUGCUGCCUCCCCCCCACAGGCUGAUGAGAGGCAGAUUCCACAUGAGAGAAAACACAAACCACUGAAUUCCAGCAACUGCCCAGGCCUGGCUGCCUCCUGUCUGACCGCUCGCUCGGAUCCUGUGUUACGCCGCCAGACCCCGACUUCUCAGCGAUGGAGUACAGCAGAAAUCCGGCCUUCAUGCUCUCCACGGUUUGGGUGGACCCUUUGCUAGUAUGACUACCCUUUUGUUUUUAGAAGUUAAAAUGUUUUUAAUGCACAAAAUGCCAGGAUUACAAAGGAAAAACAAUAUAUUCAGACAAUAAUUAAAAUAUUA